Loxodonta africana (African savanna elephant) is the source of this 70-nucleotide non-coding RNA. Lineage: Eukaryota; Metazoa; Chordata; Mammalia; Proboscidea; Elephantidae. The record is from Rfam.
GCAGUGGUGGUUCAGUGGUAGAAUUCUGCCUUCCAAAUGGGAGACCCAGGUUAGAUUUCUGGCCAAUGGA